RNAcentral lists this ribosomal RNA (770 nucleotides) under uncultured bacterium. Its description in RNAcentral is "bacterial SSU rRNA". It matches the Rfam family "Bacterial small subunit ribosomal RNA", at positions 8 to 767 of the family's 1533-position model. The record is from RNAcentral.
AGGGUUUGAUCCUGGCUCAGAUUGAACGCUGGCGGCAUGCUUUACACAUGCAAGUCGAACGGCAGCGCGGAGGUGCUUGCACCUCUGGCGGCGAGUGGCGGACGGGUGAGUAAUGUAUGGGAAUAUGCCCGGCAGAGGGGGAUAACUUUGGGAAACCAAAGCUAAUACCGCAUACGCUCUACGGAGGAAAGCGGGGGAUCUUCGGACCUCGCGCUGACGGAGUAGCCCAUAUCCGAUUAGCUUGUUGGGGCGGUAACGGCGCACCAAGGCGAUGAUCGGUAGCUGGUCUGAGAGGAUGAUCAGCCACACCGGGACUGAGACACGGCCCGGACUCCUACGGGAGGCAGCAGUGGGGAAUAUUGGACAAUGGGGGCAACCCUGAUCCAGCAAUGCCGCGUGAGUGAAGAAGGCCUUCGGGUUGUAAAGCUCUUUCGCGGGGGAAGAAACGGCGCGGAUGAAUAAUCCGCGCAACUGACGGUACCCUGACAAGAAGCACCGGCUAACUACGUGCCAGCAGCCGCGGUAAUACGUAGGGUGCAAGCGUUAAUCGGAAUUACUGGGCGUAAAGCGUGCGUAGGCGGCCGCGCAAGUCAGAUGUGAAAGCCCCGGGCUUAACCUGGGAAAUGCGUUUGAAACUGCGUGGCUAGAGUUCGGCAGGGGAAGAUGGAAUUCCAUGUGUAGCGGUGAAAUGCGUAGAUAUAUGGAAGAACACUAAUGGCGAAGGCAUUCUUCUGGGCCGACACUGACGCUGAGUCACUAAAGCGUGGGGA